CAAAGGGAGAGCGGCCCUGUGCUUUCCACCGGCGCUGGAGUCUGUGGCAGGCCGACACUAGAUGGCAGCAGCACUCACCAGUGCUCUGCAGCCAUGAACGCCUCAAACAGGCAUGUGUCCAACAAGGAACAGAGGACAGCAAACGCGACUGACGGAGUGACAGGACGUGGCCCGACAUGCUCACCUGCCGUGGUUCUGCUCAGCACAUCGGAGCCACAGCCUGGUGGAGAACAAAAGGACCGAGCCCUGGGAAGGAACGAGAGGAAGAGCAGGAAUGUGGCAAUGUGGCAGGAACCGGGCUCUUUCUAUCUUUUCGUCACCAGAGCGAUGUUUGGAGUGGAAACACCCAGCGAAGAUAAGCUCUGAUUGGAUCAGCAGAGCCGCUCCGGACGAGCGCCUCGGCCUGGUUUCCAUUUCAAAUGUGAUCACAUCCUUCGUGGUGUUCCUCCUCCGCCAUCAGUUUUCUUAAAUGCCCACAGGCCUGUCAUUUUUUAGUUGGGCCAUAAAAAUAACACAACCACGUUCUCCCACAAUAAGAGUCGCCAUGCUGUGGAGUGAGGAUCUCUGUCACGAGCCAUCGAGCUCACACUCAUUUCUGGCUGCAUCUUAAACCCGGGCCUCCAUUGUCAUAUUUGUUUUCUAAACUAGUGUAAACCGAGGAGCAGCUUUGCUUCUCAUGACUUCUGGCCGUAUUUCAAGCUAUAGUUGACCCUCGCCCUCCGAGAGCGGGUCAAAACCCAUAGAUCAAGCUAAAUAUUUGAGGCUGUGCCGCAUGGGCUGUGAGAAGGAACCGUUCCUGGGUUUGUUCAUUAAUCACAGCUUCAGCUUUGACAGAGUUGACCUCCAGAGUCAAAUUUCCAGCCCACUGACUCAAAGCCAGUAAUCGUCACCUCGAGUCAAAUGGCUCUGAUGAGCACCGAGGCCCGUUUAUUACAUGACUUCUCCUUUUAUGAAAUUAGAAGCUUGUUUUGCUGUAACACAAGUCCUAAUGUUUGAAGUGAAUGUGUGGGAUAAAAGUAAAAAACUAACAUAAGGAAAAAAAACUAACAUAAUUUAAUAGUAUGUGAUUCUUUAAUUAGUUCUCAUGAGCAUUACAGUGACUUAUUAGCACCCUGAU
This 1117-nucleotide long non-coding RNA is filed under the name Betta splendens (Siamese fighting fish). RNAcentral describes it as "lncRNA (ENSBSLG00000010829.1)". The record is from RNAcentral. Lineage: Eukaryota; Metazoa; Chordata; Actinopteri; Anabantiformes; Osphronemidae.